Molecule: ribosomal RNA, 101 nt
Filed under: Jaculus jaculus (lesser Egyptian jerboa)
Lineage: Eukaryota; Metazoa; Chordata; Mammalia; Rodentia; Dipodidae
Source: RNAcentral
GUCCACAGUCAUACAACCCUCAAGGCGCUUGAUCUCAUCUGCUCUCAGAAGCAAAGCAGGGUCUAGCCUGGUUUGGAAGGAAAAAUGCCAGUCCACUGACU